RNAcentral lists this transfer RNA (71 nucleotides) under Loxodonta africana (African savanna elephant). It matches the Rfam family "tRNA". Rfam says of the family: Transfer RNA (tRNA) molecules are approximately 80 nucleotides in length. Their secondary structure includes four short double-helical elements and three loops (D, anti-codon, and T loops). Lineage: Eukaryota; Metazoa; Chordata; Mammalia; Proboscidea; Elephantidae. The record is from Rfam by way of RNAcentral.
GCAGCGGUAGUUCAGUGGUAGAAUUCUCACCUUCCACGGAGGAGACCUGGGUUUAAUUCCUGGCCAAUGUG